AUGGGAGAGAGGCAAAGCGGACUUGCAAACGACUUCCCUUUGAAAGCACAAUCAAAGAGACACGAGGACACCACUGAACAGCACCUGUGGUCCCAGGGCCUCCUGGACUUCAAUCUGGUGCUUGGCGGCCUCCAGCCUCCUCUCUGCAGCCUGCCGGCCCUCUUCAAACUCCUUCAGGCGGCCGGCCAGCUCCUCCAGCUGGGAGGUGCGGUUGUGGAGCCUGUCGGCCAGUCCGUCCACCCUGCCGUUCAGCUGGGCCUUCUCAUCACGUACCUGCAGCAACCCGCAUUGUUCCAGCAGCUGAUCUGCUGCAGUGUUGAAGGCCUCAAGAAGAGGUUGUCUCCUCUCGAGGUCCAGUGCCAAGCCCCGGGCCUUCUGCAAGGCUUCGUCCAGCGCCGCAGAGUCCAGCGCCGGCUGGAUCUCCCCGUCUCGCUGGUCGCACUCGGCCAACCACGGCAUCAGCUCGGCCCGGUGCUGCUGGUAGGCCUCCGCUCUGCCCAGCGCGUUCUUCAGCCUGGCCUCUCGCUCCGACAUUCCCUGGUUCAACCCUUCCCAGUCCCGCUUCAAGGACGCAAGGCGGGACUGCAGGGCGGACCGCUCGUCUCCGCCCGCGGGCAGCGUGGCGAGCAGCGACGCCCCCUCGGCCUGAAUCAGCUCGUAGGAGCCUCGCUGGCUGGCGACUGCUCGCUGGAGCUCGUCCGUGUGCGCCAGCAGGGAGCGGACGGCCGCCGGCUGACAGGGCAGCGGGUCGGCGGGGGACUCGCCGGGAUCGGCCCGCUUGUCGAGCCACGAGCGCAACUCCUCGAACAUCUGCUGGAACUGCUGGGUGGACGACAGGGCGGCCUGCAGCUGAGACAGGCCGUCGGCUGGAGGAGAGGAAAUAAAAACGCCGCACGACUAAUUCAAACAAACAGCAUUUAGGGAGUUUUUGUAGUAUUUAUUUUAGCGGAUUUGCUGCUUGUUUAAUUUCAAUCCAAACAAUAUUCCCGUUCCAGCUAAAGACGGAUUACGGUUGAAAUGCAAUAUUGUUUGACUGUCAAACUGUGACUGAUGAAUUCAUCAAACAGAACCAACACUAAUAUAAAUCCAGCAGGACUGGACCUAGAAAGAAAAAAGACAAACAAACCUGCGCGCUCCUCCAAGUUCUUCAGCGGCCCGCUGACGCUCUCUAGGCGCUUACUCAGCUCUUCCUUCAGGUACGGCUCGGCCACGAUGGCGCUCAGCUCGCCGCAAAGCCGCUCAGCCUCGGCCAGCUCCGUGCGACGUCUCUCCAGCUCCGAGCGGAUCUCUCCGGUUUCCUGCAGGCGGCGUUUCAGCGCCUCGGGCUGGGCGCUCAGCGAGGCCUGACCGUCCAGCCUCUCGGCCAGAGCAGAAACGCUGGAGGAGAGCUCUCGGAGCAAGUCCUGGGCGGGAGGAGGGGGGUUAGGAGACGGCGCGGUCUAACGCGACAGCAUUCAACCAAUCCAGGCGAGACGCACCUGGUACCGCCCGCUGGUCCCCUGGGCCUGGUCAAUGUGCUUCGAUCUCUGGGUCAGUCGGUUUGUAAGGUCCUCCCACUGCUGUGUGAUGGAGCCCAGCUCAGACCGCACCUCCGCCAGGUCCUCGGGGUCCUGAGCAGAGUCGCCAGUCUGGGAGAGGAUCCCCUCGGCGGACUGGGUCAGCUGGUCGAACUGUGGCCGCCUGGUCUCGAACUCACGCAGCAUGAACUUGGAGAGAGGGGGUUAUGUGGUUAAUCAGGAACUUAAAUAGCGGGUUUCGGGAAAAAUGGAAUUGCAUUGACAAAAGAAGUGCGUCGCUCACACCAAACAGAUUUUUGGCGUUGCAUUACUUGUGGGAUCAUUUGGAUUCAUAACAUAUUUAGCUGUAUGUAGCCCAAAUAAAUCUGUUUUGAGCUGUAUUUCCAAUAAAUGGAUGGAAGGGACACUGAAACAACCACAUAAUGUUUGUCCCUCCCAAAGAAAACUAGCAAACUACUUUUAAAACACUCGAUUCGAUUGGCCUUGCUAACAUUGUAGCAGCUCAACACUCAAAAUAUGGUUUAUGCACAUAUGUUUAUACACAUCAUUUCGUGUGGUGACAGCAUCAAGCUAAUAUUACUGCAUUGAUUUUGUGUGUAGUUUAGGGGUGCAAUACACAGCCAAAUGGAAUAUUGGAUUGUGAUUUGGAAUUUGAAUUGUACCAUGUCCAGUCCUUCUUAAGAAUGUGAAGCAUUAAAAUAUGUUCUUAUCCUCAUAAUCAGCUUGCCUCCAUAACUUAACUGCAGUCUCAAGUGUCAAAACAACAGAAAUGUACUAGCGGAAAGCGUUAAUAUGUGUAUUUAUAGUGCAAGAAAUGAUUAAAACACUGGUUGUUUUGAUGGUUCCUUGUUUUUAAUGCAUUUCUGCUGACGGUGGCGUUUCUGGACCUUCUCCGCUCACAUACCUGCGCUUGUUGCCUCUGCGUGUUGAGCAUGUUGGGGUCGAUGCUCAGCGGCCCCAGCACGCUCAUCAUCAGCUCCUUCUCCCUCAGCCACGGGCCCAGCUGAGCCGCCGCCGAGGCAAAGCUGCCCAGCCUGUCGGCACACGCCUCCAGCUCCGUCUGCCUCUCGGCCGCGGCCUGAUUGGCCGUCUGCCAGCGGGAGUCUGAGGGAACAUCACCAAUAGAGGCGAGGAAGCAGUUUUUGGUCAUCAUCAAACAUGUUGCAUGUUCUGCUUUGCUUUUUAAGUGGUCCACCACUAAAAGGUGCAAUGUGUUAGACUCGUCCCCUGUGAUACCACUUGUACCUGCAGAGGCGAUAAUGAGUCACUGCAGUGUCCCGUCAGUCCUCAUCCAACAUGCUGCUCCGUGAGCUCUUCUACCCCACCGAAGGUAAUUCAUAUAUAAAUGACAACCUAAAUAAAAGUGUGACUGUGUGGACAGCGCAGUAGAGGUGAAAUGCUGCGAGGCAUUCGUUUGGAGCACGUGGCCAAGUACAACACACCGGAGAAAAAAAAACAGUGAUAAUGAUGAAACCAAACCUAACAAACAUUCUUCAUCCUUUGACUCUCUUCUUACUCCUCCCCGCUGCCGGUUUCUCCCCGAAUCACGUUCUGAGCGUCUGUGUGUGUAUUCAGUCUAAAAAUGCCUUAUAAGAUAUGGGACAUGAAGGCCGCGCUCUUAAAUAUUUCUGUCUUGGUUACAUCAUAGGAGGCCCUGGUAAAAAUAUCAAGUAUGCGAGAGAACAAACAGCUCCGACAGGAACACAUCCCACGCUCUCUCUGGAGAGCGCCAUCGCUUAGAAAAAAUGAUGCAGUGCCGAUGGGUUUUUAACGGUUUUCAAUAAAACGCCAGUUACCACGCUUAAUCUCGUUUCUAAUACCCCCCCACCUCCUCCUCCUCCUCCUCACGCUUUUUCUUUUGCUACUUCAGUUUUAUUACUCAUUCUUGUUGACUGACAUGAUGAGGUUGACAUUUUCAAUACUGAUACUGACUGAACGAAGGGUUUUAACUGGUUCGUGUUCCAGAAUAAUAUACUUUGACCACAACAGGAUUGUCACCUGUGUGACCGCACAGUAUUUUCAUAACCCCUCAGCGAGGUAUUCCUUGUCGGAUCACUUAACUACUAGUGUUUGGUAUCUGCAUGAUCGGAGACCGAGCUGUAAUCUAUCCAGCCUCUUGCCAAUGGUUGUCGCACAAUCCUGCCAUGUCAUUCCUUCUUUUUGUUGUCUGCAGUACCCACCAAUCUCUUGCAG
Molecule: long non-coding RNA, 3710 nt
Organism: Gasterosteus aculeatus (three-spined stickleback)
Lineage: Eukaryota; Metazoa; Chordata; Actinopteri; Perciformes; Gasterosteidae
Source: Ensembl